Molecule: non-coding RNA, 216 nt
Filed under: Shimia sp. SK013
Lineage: Bacteria; Pseudomonadati; Pseudomonadota; Alphaproteobacteria; Rhodobacterales; Roseobacteraceae
Also listed under: 1 other name
Source: RNAcentral
CCCAUUCGGGAUGACGCUGGUUCCUGUUCUUAGAGCAGGUGAAAAGGGAAUGCGAAAGGGGUUGGAUGACAACCCCGAAAACGCAGCCGCCCCCGCGACCGUGACCGGAGAGGUCCGCCACAGCCACUGGAGACAUCCGGGAAGGCAGGUGGGCCGCAGACGCCAAAAGCGUCGAGAUCCGCAAGCCGGGAGACCUGCCAGCGCGAGUGACAUGAA